AGGCCUAACACAUGCAAGUCGGACGGUAGCACAGAGAGCUUGCUCUCGGGUGACGAGUGGCGGACGGGUGAGUAAUGUCUGGGAAACUGCCUGAUGGAGGGGGAUAACUACUGGAAACGGUAGCUAAUACCGCAUAACGUCGCAAGACCAAAGAGGGGGACCUUCGGGCCUCUUGCCAUCAGAUGUGCCCAGAUGGGAUUAGCUAGUAGGCGGGGUAAUGGCCCACCUAGGCGACGAUCCCUAGCUGGUCUGAGAGGAUGACCAGCCACACUGGAACUGAGACACGGUCCAG
This 292-nucleotide ribosomal RNA is filed under the name Klebsiella sp. CC22. RNAcentral's name for it is "partial 16S ribosomal RNA". It matches the Rfam family "Bacterial small subunit ribosomal RNA", at positions 46 to 334 of the family's 1533-position model. Lineage: Bacteria; Pseudomonadati; Pseudomonadota; Gammaproteobacteria; Enterobacterales; Enterobacteriaceae. The record is from RNAcentral.